RNAcentral lists this ribosomal RNA (253 nucleotides) under uncultured bacterium. Its description in RNAcentral is "partial 16S ribosomal RNA". It matches the Rfam family "Bacterial small subunit ribosomal RNA", at positions 524 to 776 of the family's 1533-position model. The record is from RNAcentral.
UACGGGGGGGGCAAGCGUUGUUCGGAAUUACUGGGCGUAAAGGGUUCGUAGGUGGCCAACUAAGUCAGACGUGAAAUCCCUCAGCUUAACUGGGGAACUGCGUCUGAUACUGGUUGGCUUGAGUGCAGGAGAGGAAUGCGGAAUUCCAGGUGUAGCGGUGAAAUGCGUAGAUAUCAGGAGGAACACCAGCGGUGUAGACGGCUUUCUGGACCAUUGCUGACGCUGAGACACGAAAGCGUGGGUAGCAAACAGG